RNAcentral lists this ribosomal RNA (1412 nucleotides) under uncultured organism. RNAcentral's name for it is "partial 16S ribosomal RNA". It matches the Rfam family "Bacterial small subunit ribosomal RNA". The record is from RNAcentral.
CGGCGUGCCUAACACAUGCAAGUCGAGCGAGAAAGUUUAGUUUACUGAACGAGUAAAGCGGCGAACGGGUGAGUAACACGUGGAUUAUCUGCCUGAAAGUUUGGGAUAACAUCGGGAAACCGUUGCUAAUACCAAAUGUGGAAGUAAUUCUAAAGGGGGCCUCUUCUAUGCUCCCGCUUUCAGAUGAGUCCGCGUCCUAUCAGCUUGUUGGUGAGGUAAUGGCUCACCAAGGCAUAGACGGGUAGCCGGCCUGAGAGGGUGUACGGCCACAUGGGGACUGAGAUACGGCCCUGACUCCUACGGGAGGCAGCAGUGAGGAAUAUUGCCCAAUGGGGGAAACCCUGAGGCAGCGACGCCGCGUGAGGGAUGAAGUCUUUCGAGACGUAAACCUCUUUUAAGUGGGACGAAACAGUGAGUAGUGAAUAAUUACUCGCCUUGACGGUACCAUUUGAAUAAGCCCCGGCUAACUACGUGCCAGCAGCCGCGGUAAAACGUAGGGGGCAAGCGUUGCUCGGAUUCACUGGGUCUAAAGGGCUCGCAUGCGGACAUUUAAGUCCUGGGUUAAAUUUACAGGCUCAACUUGUACCUGCCUGGGAAACUGGAUGUCUUGAGGAAGAGAGAGGAAACGGGAAUUCCCGGUGUAACGGUGGAAUGUGUAGAUAUCGGGAGGAACACCAACGGCGAAGGCAAGUUUCUAGCUCUUACCUGACGCUCAGGAGCGAAAGCGUGGGGAGUAAACAGGAUUAGAUACCCUGGUAAUCCACGCCCUAAACGAUGGGUGCUAGGUGUNGGGAUAAAAAAUCUCGGUGCCGAAGAGAAGUCGUUAAGCACCUCACCUGGGGAUUACGGCCGCAAGGCUGAAACUCAAAGGAAUUGACGGGUCCCCGCACAAAGCGGUGGAGCAUGUUGUUUAAUUCGUAGCAACGCGAAGAACCUUACCAGGGCUUGACAUGUCCGGAACCUUGCCGAGAGGUGAGGGUGCCUUCGGGAGCCGGAACACAGGUGGUGCAUGGCUGUCGUCAGCUCGUGUCGUGAGAUGUUGGGUUAAGUCCCGCAACGAGCGCAACCCACGUUCUUAGUUGCCAGCAUUGAGUUGGGCACUCUAGGGAGACUGCCGGUGACAAACCGGAGGAAGGUGUGGAUGACGUCAAGUCAGCAUGCCCCUUACGUCCUGGGCUACACACGUACUACAAUGCUGUGGACAAAGGGCAGCCAGCCGGCGAUGGUGAGCUAAUCCCAGAAACCACGGCUCAGUUCAGAUUGCAGGCUGCAACUCGCCUGCAUGAAGGAGGAAUCGCUAGUAAUCGCAGGUCAGCAUACUGCGGUGAUACGUUCCCGGGCCUUGUACACACCGCCCGUCACACCAUGGGAGUUGGUUUUGCCCGAAGUCGUUACUCCAACCUUAGGGAGGG